Molecule: long non-coding RNA, 836 nt
Filed under: Dromaius novaehollandiae (emu)
Lineage: Eukaryota; Metazoa; Chordata; Aves; Casuariiformes; Dromaiidae
Description: lncRNA (ENSDNVG00000016704.1)
Source: RNAcentral
UAUGAAAUAUCAAAACUGGAGAAUCAGUAGAAAGCUUCAAGGGAGAUCGACAGGCUGUACAACGUGCUGCUCAGCCAUCAGAAUGAUCCACUGGGCUAAAAUGGAAAAAGAUUAAACAAUUCCUAUUUUCUAGUGAAGAUAAUGGAUUUCCUUGUUUUCUUUAGGGAUAUGAAGUCAAUUUUCCCUGUUGGAGAUUGAAAUGCAAACCUUAGGGACUUGACCUUAAAGGCUACAAAACAAAGAUCACUUACCCACUCAGUUUUUCUUCUGCCGCUUGGACUUUCACAUCAUUAAGUUUUAGGAAACUCUGCAUGAUUUCACUCUCAAGUAAGUUGGUUUCAGACUGUAAGUUUGUGCAUCUGGUAGCUGAACCUGGCUGUACUGAAGAGGUCUGGCCAGAGGAAAAUGUUGUAGAAGUCAAAUCUGGACAUUGUCUUCCCACUGAAUGCUUUUGAGUCUUCAGCAUGCUCCAGAGCCAUUCAGGUUGAGGUGCUCUGGAGCUUGACACCUCUCCUGCAGCACACCUUCAUGGUACUCUCCUUCCCACAGCGAAGGCUGCCCACCGCUCAGCCCACUCUGUAAACAUCACGCUUAGUUCUAUAUAUGGGAUAAAGUGUGGCUCACAUUGUUAUCUCCCAUAGCACUGUAGCAAAAGGCAGGAAGAAAGACACAGUUUUGACUCAGGAGGAACAUCAAAGAAGCUUUCAAUAGUCAGCUAUGAGACCUCUUUCCUCUAGGACUGAUCAGUCUGCAUAGGUUAGAGCUGGUACCACUGGAAUCAAAAGAUUUGGCCUGCUUAAGCGAAAGAGCAGAGCAGGUUGCCUCUUCCUCAUCCU